GUUGUUGCCAUGGUAAUCCUGUACAGUAUAAGAGGAACCACAAGUUCAGACAUUUGUUGUAUGUGCUUGGCUGAGGAGCCAAUGAGGCAAAACUAGCAUCUGUGGGAUUAUGACUGAAUGACUCUAAGUCCAAAUCCCACCCAGGUGGAACAAU
Molecule: non-coding RNA, 154 nt
Organism: Callithrix jacchus (white-tufted-ear marmoset)
Lineage: Eukaryota; Metazoa; Chordata; Mammalia; Primates; Cebidae
Source: Rfam